GGGUGUGAUUAUACCAACACUAAUGCACCGGAUCCCAUCAGAACUCUGCAGUUAAGCGUGCUUGGGCGAAAGUAGUACUAAGAUGGGUGACCUCCCGGGGAAGUUCUCGUGUUGCACCCG
This is a ribosomal RNA of Eutrema salsugineum, 120 nucleotides long. The record is from Rfam. Lineage: Eukaryota; Viridiplantae; Streptophyta; Magnoliopsida; Brassicales; Brassicaceae.